RNAcentral lists this ribosomal RNA (1047 nucleotides) under Salmonella enterica subsp. enterica serovar Montevideo. RNAcentral describes it as "partial 23S ribosomal RNA". It matches the Rfam family "Bacterial large subunit ribosomal RNA", at positions 520 to 1566 of the family's 2925-position model. The record is from RNAcentral. Lineage: Bacteria; Pseudomonadati; Pseudomonadota; Gammaproteobacteria; Enterobacterales; Enterobacteriaceae.
AGAACCCCGGCGAGGGGAGUGAAAAAGAACCUGAAACCGUGUACGUACAAGCAGUGGGAGCACAGGUUUACCUGUGUGACUGCGUACCUUUUGUAUAAUGGGUCAGCGACUUAUAUUCUGUAGCAAGGUUAACCGAAUAGGGGAGCCGGAGGGAAACCGAGUCUUAAUUGGGCGUUAAGUUGCAGGGUAUAGACCCGAAACCCGGUGAUCUAGCCAUGGGCAGGUUGAAGGUUGGGUAACACUAACUGGAGGACCGAACCGACUAAUGUUGAAAAAUUAGCGGAUGACCUGUGGCUGGGGGUGAAAGGCCAAUCAAACCGGGAGAUAGCUGGUUCUCCCCGAAAGCUAUUUAGGUAGCGCCUCGUGAACUCAUCUCCGGGGGUAGAGCACUGUUUCGGCUAGGGGGCCAUCCCGGCUUACCAACCCGAUGCAAACUGCGAAUACCGGAGAAUGUUAUCACGGGAGACACACGGCGGGUGCUAACGUCCGUCGUGAAGAGGGAAACAACCCAGACCGCCAGCUAAGGUCCCAAAGUCAUGGUUAAGUGGGAAACGAUGUGGGAAGGCCCAGACAGCCAGGAUGUUGGCUUAGAAGCAGCCAUCAUUUAAAGAAAGCGUAAUAGCUCACUGGUCGAGUCGGCCUGCGCGGAAGAUGUAACGGGGCUAAACCAUGCACCGAAGCUGCGGCAGCGACACUCAGGUGUUGUUGGGUAGGGGAGCGUUCUGUAAGCCUGUGAAGGUGGCCUGUGAGGGUUGCUGGAGGUAUCAGAAGUGCGAAUGCUGACAUAAGUAACGAUAAAGCGGGUGAAAAGCCCGCUCGCCGGAAGACCAAGGGUUCCUGUCCAACGUUAAUCGGGGCAGGGUGAGUCGACCCCUAAGGCGAGGCCGAAAGGCGUAGUCGAUGGGAAACGGGUUAAUAUUCCCGUACUUGGUGUUACUGCGAAGGGGGGACGGAGAAGGCUAUGUUGGCCGGGCGACGGUUGUCCCGGUUUAAGCGUGUAGGUGUGUGUUCCAGGUAAAUCCGGUUCACUUUAACACUGAGGCGUGA